CUUAAGCUGAGCGGUUGCCUCUUUAUAAAUUCACAAUGUGUCGCUUUUAUUUGCUAUUGUUGCUAUUUACUGGCUAUUUAUUAUUGACAAAUGGACAUACAAUCAAUCAAUCAAAUGAAGAGACGCAGCCUGAACUUGACACUGGCUUCCCUGCGCUGUCCUUGAUGGUCUUUGCCAAUUCACAGAAUCGACUAUGGCCAUAUAAAAGACCACGAACGUAGAGAUAAACUAUUACUACAGUAACUAUCUCAACUGUGGACACGUGCCAUUAACACAAAGUAAACACGGAUACAAAACACACUCACACACACACAAAAACAAACAACAGGCAACAGAUUUUUAAUCAACAUGCGCAUAAUGGAAAAAUCUUAUGGCAACUUCAACGAUAAUCAUUGGCGCACGUGACGUCAAAUUAUGACUUUCAAUAUUGUGCGAAAAUUAUGCUGAGCAAAAAUUUGCAUAUA
This is a long non-coding RNA of Drosophila busckii, 464 nucleotides long. RefSeq lists it as uncharacterized. NCBI's taxonomy places the organism in Eukaryota, Metazoa, Arthropoda, Insecta, Diptera, Drosophilidae. The record is from RefSeq and is a predicted model, not a curated record. The transcript is spliced from 3 exons.